AUUGUAUUUUAAGGCCUUUUGGCUAAGAUCAAGUGUAGCAUCUGUUCUUAUCUCUUUAAUAUCUGUUAUGUCCCCUCUAGAUUGUAAGCUGAUUGUGGGCAAGGAACGUUGUCUGCCGAUUCUCU
This 125-nucleotide small nuclear RNA is filed under the name Ornithorhynchus anatinus (platypus). RNAcentral describes it as "U2 spliceosomal RNA (ENSOANG00000044467.1)". It matches the Rfam family "U2 spliceosomal RNA". From Rfam's summary of the family: U2 is a small nuclear RNA (snRNA) component of the spliceosome (involved in pre-mRNA splicing). Complementary binding between U2 snRNA (in an area lying towards the 5' end but 3' to hairpin I) and the branchpoint sequence (BPS) of the intron results the bulging out of an unpaired adenosine, on the BPS, which initiates a nucleophilic attack at the intronic 5' splice site, thus starting the first of two transesterification reactions that mediate splicing. The record is from Rfam by way of RNAcentral. Lineage: Eukaryota; Metazoa; Chordata; Mammalia; Monotremata; Ornithorhynchidae.